UACGAGGUACGGACAUCCUUCAGCAGUUUGUGGACAAGCAGCAGUUGCCCAAAGAAAUGGAUGGAGACUUUAACCACUCACAUGAUGACUGGCUCGCUUUUAGACUGAGUUUGGAGCAGCUGACUGAGCGCUGUGAGAGCGCCCUCACCCUGCUGGGAGACGCACUGCAGUCUAUGGACACAGAACCACUACCUGACUGCAUUAAGAAUGUUGCCCUCAGCGUCGACAAACACAGACAGUUAAUGACAGGCAUCCUCACUGACCAACGGCUGACAGAGCUGCAGCAGAGGGGCGGGACUUGGCUGGCAGGUCUGGCCAAUGGGACUCCAGGGCUGGCACAGAAAUCACC
RNAcentral lists this long non-coding RNA (349 nucleotides) under Sinocyclocheilus rhinocerous. RNAcentral describes it as "lncRNA (ENSSRHG00000005291.1)". The record is from RNAcentral. Lineage: Eukaryota; Metazoa; Chordata; Actinopteri; Cypriniformes; Cyprinidae.